RNAcentral lists this small nuclear RNA (107 nucleotides) under Procavia capensis (Cape rock hyrax). Lineage: Eukaryota; Metazoa; Chordata; Mammalia; Hyracoidea; Procaviidae. The record is from RNAcentral.
AUGCUCGCUUCAGCAGCACAUGUACUAAAAUUGGAAUGAUACAGAAAAGAUUAGCAUGGCCCCUGCACAAGGAUGACACACAAAUUAGUGAAGCGUUCCAUAUUUUU